Molecule: ribosomal RNA, 228 nt
Filed under: uncultured bacterium
Lineage: Bacteria
Description: partial 16S ribosomal RNA
Rfam family: Bacterial small subunit ribosomal RNA
Source: RNAcentral
UGCGCAGGCGGUAUGUUAAGUUUAAGUUUAAAGCGUUGAGCUCAACUCAAUGAUGGCUUAAAAACUAGCAAACUAGAGUGCAGAAGAGGGUAGUGGAAUUCCAUGUGUAGCGGUAAAAUGCGUAGAUAUAUGGAGGAACACCAGUGGCGAAGGCGACUACCUGGUCUGUAACUGACGCUCAUGCACGAAAGCGUGGGGAGCAAACAGGAUUAGAUACCCUGGUAGUCC